RNAcentral lists this transfer RNA (68 nucleotides) under Eurygaster testudinaria. Its description in RNAcentral is "tRNA-His". Lineage: Eukaryota; Metazoa; Arthropoda; Insecta; Hemiptera; Scutelleridae. The record is from RNAcentral.
GUUUAAGUAGUUUAAUUAUUAAAGAAUAGUAAUUUGUGGUGUUACAGGUGUAUUAUUUACCUUAGAUC